CGUGGCUAACCUGCCCUUGGGACGAGAACACCCCCGGGAAACUGGGGCUAAUUCUCGAUAGGUGAAGAACUCUGGAAUGAGUCUUCGCUUAAAAGAUACUGGGGUUAUGCUCUCCAGCUUCGCCCAAGGAUGGGGCCGCGACCGAUCAGGUUGUUGGUGAGGUAAUGGCUCACCAAGCCUUUUACCGGUGCGGGCCGUGAGAGCGGGAGCCCGGAGAUGGGCACUGAGAGAAGGGUCCAGGUCCUACGGGGCGCAGCAGGCGCGAAACCUUCACAAUGCGCGAAAGCGUGAUGAGGUUAAUCCGAGUGGUCCCCGCUGAGGGGAUCUUUUGUCGGCUGUAAAAAGGCCGGUGAAUAAGGGGAGGGCAAGUCUGGUGUCAGCCGCCGCGGUAAUACCAGCUCCUCGAGUGGUCGGGGCGAUUAUUGGGCCUAAAGCAUCCGUAGCCUGCUCAGUAGGUCUCCUGUUAAAUCCAACGGCUCAACCGUUGGUCUGCAGGAGAUACCGCUUGGCUAGGGGACGAGAGAGGCAGACGGUAUUUCCGGGGUAGGGGUGAAAUCCUAUAAUCCCGGGAAGACCACCAGUGGCGAAGGCGGUCCGCCAGAACGCGCUCGACGGUGAGGGAUGAAAGCUGGGGGAGCGAACCGGAUUAGAUACCCGGGUAGUCCCAGCCGU
Molecule: ribosomal RNA, 672 nt
Filed under: uncultured archaeon
Lineage: Archaea
Description: bacterial SSU rRNA
Rfam family: Archaeal small subunit ribosomal RNA
Source: RNAcentral